CCCACCGCCCAAACAUUUUGGAUCCACCUGACUCUUUCCUCUUCCUGCUGCCUACGUCUAGCCUGGCAUGGCCAGAGAGAUUGCAAAUACACCUCAGUGUGGAAACAGUGCAAUGUCUAUGUCAAGGGGGCGUUAUCAACAGGCACAGACCAAAAUGCUUACAACCAAUCAGAGCAAAGAAACGUGACCUGUCACUCAAGGAGCUGUCACUGAGCGUGGUGGUGAGAAACAUGGCUGCCUGGUCACAAACGAUCUCAAAUUACAGCUAAACAGUACACUAAAAUGUGAUUCUGAAAACAUUUGAUGCGAGAAAUAGGCAAUGCAGUAACGGAAUCUUGAUUCAGAUAUGAUCAGCACUGCCUAGUUUUACAGUUUGAUCCGAGUUUCGGGAGCUGGAUGUGUUGCACUGGAGACAACUGCAGACUAACAGCACCUACAACCAAUCAGAGCAGAGAAACGUGUCUAGAACGGUGACUGUGAUUGGCUCGUCUGUUUCUGGAAAAGAUAUCUCCGAGUAGAGGAGACUGUGUACGUCCAAGGAGGAGACGCACCGCAUCUGCUGCAGAUUUCACCUGAGACAGACCCUCAGCUGAGACCGAAUGGUGGCAUUCAACAGGGGACUCCAGACAAGGAAGGCCAAGGCCAGGCCAGCUCUACGGCAGAGGAUGCAAUGGGGAAGAUUUCACCUGAGACAGACCCUCAGCUCAGACCGAAUGGUGGCAUUCAACAGGAUUGGAGACAGCUAGCUGUCCUGUUGAGGAACCUCCAGGCAGCUCAGACGGAUUGGAGACAGCUAGCUGUCCUGUCGAGGAACCUCCAGGCAGCUCAGACGCAAUCAGCAAAAAGACUGUUGGAAAGUCCAAAGUGCCCAAAAGAAGAGAAGAGCAGGAACCACUAGAGUUACUUGAAGAAGCUGCUGAAAGGGACAAUCCUCGGAGGAAACAAAAACAACAGUGGUCUCUAAAAGAGGUCUCAGCGGUGAUCAGACACUUUAAGAACCUUCCUAAAAAAGAGAGUGAAGUCCAACUCCCUUUGUGUUUGUUGUUCUCAGCCCUCUGAUGAUGGCUGCUGUGCGGCCAAACAGGGAACUGACUGUCACUGUUUUCAAAACAGAAAUAAUUAAACAUGGCUUCUUCUUUACUGAG
Molecule: long non-coding RNA, 1145 nt
Organism: Notolabrus celidotus (New Zealand spotty)
Lineage: Eukaryota; Metazoa; Chordata; Actinopteri; Labriformes; Labridae
Exons: 8
Source: RefSeq, a predicted model, not a curated record